This 484-nucleotide ribosomal RNA is filed under the name uncultured bacterium. RNAcentral describes it as "partial 16S ribosomal RNA". It matches the Rfam family "Bacterial small subunit ribosomal RNA", at positions 28 to 507 of the family's 1533-position model. The record is from RNAcentral.
AUUGAACGCUGGCGGCAUGCUUUACACAUGCAAGUCGAACGGCAGCGCGGGCUUCGGCCUGGCGGCGAGUGGCGAACGGGUGAGUAAUGCAUCGGAACGUGCCCAGUAGUGGGGGAUAGCCCGGCGAAAGCCGGAUUAAUACCGCAUACGACCUGAGGGUGAAAGCGGGGGACCGAAAGGCCUCGCGCUCUUGGAGCGGCCGAUGUCGGAUUAGCUAGUUGGUGGGGUAAAGGCUUACCAAGGCGACGAUCCGUAGCUGGUCUGAGAGGACGACCAGCCACACUGGGACUGAGACACGGCCCAGACUCCUACGGGAGGCAGCAGUGGGGAAUUUUGGACAAAGGGGGCAACCCUGAUCCAGCCAUGCCGCGUGCGGGAAGAAGGCCUUCGGGUUGUAAACCGCUUUUGUUCGGGAAGAAAUCCUCUGGGCUAAUACCCCGGGGGGAUGACGGUACCGGAAGAAUAAGCACCGGCUAACUACGUG